Molecule: ribosomal RNA, 429 nt
Filed under: Chloroflexota bacterium
Lineage: Bacteria; Bacillati; Chloroflexota
Description: Chloroflexi bacterium partial 16S ribosomal RNA
Rfam family: Bacterial small subunit ribosomal RNA
Source: RNAcentral
UGGGGAAUAUUGCACAAUGGGCGCAAGCCUGAUGCAGCCAUGCCGCGUGUAUGAAGAAGGCCUUCGGGUUGUAAAGUACUUUCAGUCGGGAGGAAGGUGUCAAGGUUAAUAACCUUGGCAAUUGACGUUACCCGCAGAAGAAGCACCGGCUAACUCCGUGCCAGCAGCCGCGGUAAUACGGAGGGUGCAAGCGUUAAUCGGAAUUACUGGGCGUAAAGCGCACGCAGGCGGUCUGUCAAGUCGGAUGUGAAAUCCCCGGGCUCAACCUGGGAACUGCAUUCGAAACUGGCAGGCUAGAGUCGUGUAGAGGGGGGUAGAAUUCCAGGUGUAGCGGUGAAAUGCGUAGAGAUCUGGAGGAAUAACGGUGGCGAAGGCGGCCCCCUGGACAAAGACUGACGCUCAGGUGCGAAAGCGUGGGGAGCAAACAGG